CCCCGGAUUGGCCCCUUUUCCUGUCUUCCCAGCCCCCUGUUUUUCCCCAGUCCAGCCCCAGUGUGUGUGCGUGGGGGGGGGGCAGCCUUGAAAAGCCUGAGGCUGUGCAGCUGAGGAGAGAAAAGUCGAGGCCUCCAUGGCAAUGAGGCAGACUCGGCUCACUUGCUCGGCACAGCUCACUUGCUCCGCACGGCCCGUGGCUGAUUUGGCCUUCAGUGGCAUCACGCAUAUGGGUAUUUUUUAAUCAGCACUUGCAAAGAUGGUAAACCUAUGCUAUGCCAGGGAGAUACAGGAGACUGGAUUGGAAAAUUUUGGGGUCAUAAAGGUACUGUUUGGGGUGCAACAUUGAAUAAGGAUGCCACCAAAGCAGCUACAGCAGCUCCAGAUUUCACAGUCAAAGUGUGGGAUGCGGUCUGAGGAGAUGAACUGAUGACCCUGGCUCAUAAACACAUUGUCAAGAGUGUAGGCCGGGCGCAAGUGGAUUUCACACAGGAUAGUAAUUAUUUGUUAACCGGGGGACAAGAUAAACUAUUACACAUAUAUGACUUGAACAAACCUAAAGCAGAACCUAAGGAAAUUAGUAGUCACACCUCUCGUAUUAAAAAGGCUGUAUGAUGCAGUGAGGAUGAACAGAUUCUUUCAGCUGACAAUGAAACUGUUCGCCUUUGGGGUCAUGCUACUAUGACAGAAGUGAAAUCUCUAAAUUUUAGUAUGUCUGUGAGUAGUAUGGAAUAUAUUCCUGAGGGAGAGAUUUUGGUUAUAACUUAUGGACGAUCUAUUGCUUUUCAUAGUGCAGUAAGUUUGGACACAAUUAAAUCCUUUGAAGCUCCUGCAACCGUCAAUUCUGCAUCUCUUCAUCCUGAGAAAGAAUUUCUUGUUGCAGGUGGUGAAGAUUUUAGACUUUAUGAUUAUAAUAGUGGAGAAGAAUUAGAAUCCUACAAAGGACACUUUGGUCCUAUUCACUGUGUGAGAUUUAGUCCUGAUGGAAAACUCUAUGCCAGUGGUUCUGAAGAUGGAACACUGAGACUAUGGCAGACUGUGGUAGGAAAAACAUAUGGCCUUUGGAAAUGUGUGCUUCCUAAAGAAGAUAGUGGUGAGUUGGCAAAACCAAAGAUUGGUUUUCCAGAGACAACAGAAGAGGAGCUGGAAGAAAUUGCUUCAGAGAAUUCAGAUUCCAUCUAUUCUUCAACUCCUGAAGUUAAAACUUGAUCAUCAAAUAUAUGCCACAGAUAGUAUAAAAAUUAUGCACUAAAACAACAAACAAAGAGUUAGUCUCUGCUUAAGGCAAACACAGCAGUAAAUAAUGGGGAAUAUGAAUUAGCUCCAGUGCUAGAACAACUAACUUGGUGUUACCUGUAAGUGAAAACUCAAGAGCAGAUGAAGGCAGGUGGAAUUAUGCUCCUGUAGUACAAUGGGCUGUUUUUUAAAAAAUGAAUAUGUGUAAGCCAACAACCAAUUUCUCUUAUUACAAUUAGAUUUCUCACAGCUGUUUAUGUUAUUAUGGAGAAGAAAAAUAUAUUGGCUUAUUUUUCUGACUUUUCCGUUACAGCAGAAUGCCUUUUUUUUUUUUUUUGCUUUAGUCAUAAAGAAGAGGGAAUUCAUGAUUAAGUAACUGGUUUAAUUUCUCUUUCAUUGUACACUGCUUCUGAACAUC
This is a non-coding RNA of Microcebus murinus (gray mouse lemur), 1654 nucleotides long. Lineage: Eukaryota; Metazoa; Chordata; Mammalia; Primates; Cheirogaleidae. The record is from RefSeq and is a predicted model, not a curated record.